This 789-nucleotide ribosomal RNA is filed under the name uncultured archaeon. RNAcentral describes it as "bacterial SSU rRNA". It matches the Rfam family "Archaeal small subunit ribosomal RNA", at positions 85 to 879 of the family's 1478-position model. The record is from RNAcentral.
ACGGCUCAGUAACACGUGGAUAACCUGCCCUGCGGUGGGAAAUAACCCCGGGAAACUGGGGAUAAUGUCCCAUAGGCUACAGAUGCUGGAAUGCUCUGUAACUCAAAGAUUUAUCGCCACAGGAUGGGUCUGCGGCCGAUUAGGUAGUUGUUGGGGUAACGGCCCAACAAGCCUUUGAUCGGUACGGGUUGUGGGAGCAAGAGCCCGGAGAUGGAUUCUGAGACACGAAUCCAGGCCCUACGGGGCGCAGCAGGCGCGAAAACUUUACAAUGCGGGAAACCGUGAUAAGGGAACUCCGAGUGUCCGUAAAUGCGGACUGUCCGUAUGUCUAAAAAGCAUGCGAAGAAAGGGCCGGGCAAGACCGGUGCCAGCCGCCGCGGUAAUACCGGCGGCUCGAGUGGUGGCCACUAUUAUUGGGCUUAAAGCGUUCGUAGCUGGAUCGUUAAGUCUCUUGGGAAAUCUACCGGCUUAACCGAUAGGCGUCCAAGGGAUACUGGCGAUCUAGGGACCGGGAGAGGUGAGGGGUACUUCAGGGGUAGGAGUGAAAUCCUGUAAUCCUUGGGGGACCACCUGUGGCGAAGGCGCCUCACCAGAACGGCUCCGACAGUGAGGGACGAAAGCUGGGGGAGCAAACCGGAUUAGAUACCCGGGUAGUCCCAGCCGUAAACGAUGCGCGUUAGGUGUAUCGAUGACCACGAGUCAUCGAGGUGCCGAAGGGAAACCGUGAAACGCGCCGCCUGGGAAGUACGGUCGCAAGGCUGAAACUUAAAGGAAUUGGCGGGGGAGCAC